Molecule: ribosomal RNA, 468 nt
Filed under: uncultured bacterium
Lineage: Bacteria
Description: partial 16S ribosomal RNA
Rfam family: Bacterial small subunit ribosomal RNA
Source: RNAcentral
GACGAACGCUGGCGGCGUGCUUAACACAUGCCAGUCGAACGGAAAGGCCCUGCUUUUGUGGGGUGCUCGAGUGGCGAACGGGUGAGUAACACGUGAGUAACCUGCCCUUGACUUUGGGAUAACUUCAGGAAACUGGGGCUAAUACCGGAUAGGAGCUCCUGCUGCAUGGUGGGGGUUGGAAAGUUUCGGCGGUUGGGGAUGGACUCGCGGCGUAUCAGCUUGUUGGUGGGGUAGUGGCUUACCAAGGCUUUGACGGGUAGCCGGCCUGAGAGGGUGACCGGCCACAUUGGGACUGAGAUACGGCCCAGACUCCUACGGGAGGCAGCAGUGGGGAAUAUUGCACAAUGGGCGGAAGCCUGAUGCAGCAACGCCGCGUGCGGGAUGACGGCCUUCGGGUUGUAAACCGCUUUCGCCUGUGACGAAGCGUGAGUGACGGUAAUGGGUAAAGAAGCACCGGCUAACUACGUG